Long non-coding RNA from Hypanus sabinus (Atlantic stingray), 3491 nucleotides. RefSeq lists it as uncharacterized. The record is from RefSeq and is a predicted model, not a curated record. The transcript has 3 exons. Lineage: Eukaryota; Metazoa; Chordata; Chondrichthyes; Myliobatiformes; Dasyatidae.
UUGUUGCCCCUCCGCCCUCUGGUCUGGGUUUGAGGAGAAGGGGAGGGUUAUUGGGUGGAGGAGGUGGAUGGAUCAGCGCCUCUGUCUCCCCCCUCCUCCGUGCACUCUUUGACCGGCUCUGGAAUGCGCGCAUUGUCAUAGCCCAAGGGGGUAGCGAUGAGGCAGUCAGGAAUGUGUUUAAUUCCGAGGCCAAACAAUGUGAGCGAGAGAGUCCGGGCGGGGAGGAAGAGCGAUAGCGAGAUAGGGGCAACUUUCAGAAGCCGCUUGAGGACCCAGACUUUGCGGGAGCACACGAGCCCUGGAGUCUGCGAAUCGCUGCUACUGCCGCCGGCCCGGGAGCGGAUGUCACUGGGCAUUGAUCCCUUCGGAUUUCGCCCCCUUCCUAGCUCAACACAGCCCACGAGUAAGCCUCGACUUGCGUCCGGCAGCCUGUUUGCUCACGGGAUGGGUGGGAAGGGGCAGAUGCUCAUCCCGGCUGUCCCAACACUGACCGGACCCCGCCCCGCAUUCAGAAUGAGGUUCAAUUUUUAAAGAUUCUGGAUGCCUGGAAGGUUAGUGCCCACAAAGGAGCUGGAUGAAUUUAUAACUUUCUGCUGCCCUCUCAUCUUAUGCAGUGGUCCCUUCAUACCAUUCAGUGAUGCACUCCACAGUGCGUUUGGAGUGAGUGUCCUCAAACUCCUAAUGAAAUAUAGCUGCUGCACCUUCUUUGUGAUUGCAUCAAUACAUUGGCCCCGGGAUGGAUCUUCAGAGAUGUUGACACCCAGGAACUUGAAACUGCUCACCCUUCCCGCUGCAGAUCCCUCGAUGAGGACAGGUUCAGCCAGGAAGGCCUCAUACCAUCACGUGAAGUCAGCUUCAGCGCACUGGCCGGUAGAGAUGUACAAUGUGAUCCAACAUUGGUUCAUGAAGGUUCUGCAACACUCCAUGGAGAAAUCAUGGUCAUCCACUGCAACCAAGAAGUCUCUAGCUGUGACAGCUAUUCAUACCAUCAGACCUGGACAUCCAAGGUUGAGAGAGUACAACUGCCCCAAUGUAUUGGCUUUUCCACUUUACAAACUUUCCUGCACAGAUUUUCUGUCAACAGUGGAUACCAGGGACAACCAACACUGCCAUUUGUGAUACAGUUUUUUAUGCCACUGUACUGCUGCCACAAAACAACAGAUAUCACAAUAACUAUCAGUGACAGUAAACCCUAUUCUGAUCACAGAUUGGAGAGGUUUGGUGAUGUGUAAGUGACAGUAAACCCUAUUCUAAUUCACAGAUCAUUGAGGUUUGGACGCUAUUUGUCAGUGACAGUAAACCCUAUUCUGAUCACAGAUCAUUGAGGUUUGGACAUUUGUCAAUGACAGUAAACCUUAUUUUGAUCACAGAUCAGAGAGGUUUGGACAUUUGUCAAUGACAGUAAACCCUAUUCUGAUCACAGAUCGUUCAGGUUUGGACGAUACGUGUCAAUGACAGUAAACCCUAUUCUGAUCACAGAUCGGAGAGGUUUGGACAUUUGUCAAUGACAGUAAACCCUAUUCUGAUCACAGAUUGAAGAGGUUUGGACGAUACGCGUCAAUGACAGUAAACCCUAUUCUGAUCACAGUUCAGAAAGGUUUGGACGAUACGCGUCAAUGACAGUAAACCCUAUUCUGAUCACAGAUCGUUCAGGUUUGGACGAUACAUGUCAAUGACAGUAAACCCUAUUCUGAUCACAGAUUGGAGAGGUUUGGACAUUUGUCAAUGACAGUAAACUCUAUUCUGAUCACAGAUUGGAGAGGUUUGGACAUUUGUCAAUGACAGUAAACUCUAUUCUGAUCACAGAUCGUUCAGGUUUGGAUGAUACGUGUCAAUAAAAGUAAACCCUAUUCUGAUCACAGAUUGGAGAGGCUUGGACAUUUGUCAAUGACAGUAAACCCUACUCUGAUCACAGAUCGAAGAGGUUUGUACGAUACGUGUCAAUGACAGUAAACCCUAUUCUGAUCACAGUUCAGAAAGGUUUGGACGAUACGUGUCAAUGACAGUAAACUCUAAUCUGAUCACAGGUCAUUGAGGUUUGGACAUUUGUCAAUGACAGUAAACCCUAUUCUGAUCACAGAUCGUUCAGGUUUGGACGAUACGUGUCAAUGACAGUAAACCCUAUUCGGAUCACAGAUCGAAGAGGUUUGGACGAUACGUGUCAAUGACAGUACACCCUAUUCUGAUCACAGAUCGGAGAGGUUUGGACAUUUGUCAAUGACAGUAAACCCUAUUCUGAUCACAGAUCGUUCAGGUUUGGACGAUACGUGUCAAUGACAGUAAACCCUAUUCUGAUCACAGAUCGGAGAGGUUUGGACAUUUGUCAAUGACAGUAAACCCUAUUCUGAUCACAGAUCGGAGAGGUUUGGACAUUUGGCAAUGACAGUAUACCCUAUUCUGAUCACAGAUCGGAGAGGUUUGGACAUUUGGCAAUGACAGUAUACCCUAUUCUGAUCACAGAUCGGAGAGGUUUGGACGAUACGUGUCAAUGACAGUAAACCCUAUUCUGAUUACAGAUCAUUGAGGUUUGGACAUUUGUCAGUGACAGUAAACCCUAUUCUGAUCACAGAUCGGAGAGGUUUGGACGAUACGUGUCAAUGACAGUAAACCCUAUUCUGAUCACAGUUCAGAGAGGUUUGGACAUUUGUCAAUGACAGUAAACCCUAUUCUGAUCACAGAUCGUUCAGGUUUGGACAUUUGUCAAUGACAGUAAACCCUAUUCUGAUCACAGAUUGGAGAGGUUUGGACAUUUGGUAAUGACAGUAAACCCUAUUCUGAUCACAGAUCGGAGAGGUUUGGACAUUUGGUAAUGACAGUAAACCCUAUUCUGAUCACAGAUUGGAGAGGUUUGGACGAUACGUGUCAAUGACAGUAAACUCUAUUCUGAUCACAGAUUGGAGAGGUUUGGAUAUUUGGCAAUGACAGUAAACCCUAUUCUGAUCACAGAUCGGAGAGGUUUGGACGAUACGUGUCAAUGACAGUAAACCCUAUUCUGAUCACAGAUCGGAGAGGUUUGGACAUUUGUCAAUGACAGUAAACCCUAUUCUGAUCACAGAUCGUUCAGGUUUGGACGAUACGUGUCAAUGACAGUAAACCCUAUUCUGAUCACAGAUCAUUGAGGUUUGGACAUUUGUUAAUGACAGUAAACCCUAUUCUGAUCACAGGUCAUUGAGGUUUGGACAUUUGUUAAUGACAGUAAACCCUAUUCUGAUCACAGAUUGGAGAGGUUUGGACGAUACGUGUCAAUGACAGUAAACCCUAUUCUGAUCACAGGUCAUUGAGAUUUGGACAUUUGUCAGUGACAGUAAACCCUAUUCUGAUCACAGAUCGGAGAGGUUUGGACGAUACGUGUCAAUGACAGUAAACCCUAUUCUGAUCACAGAUCGGAGAGGUUUGGACGAUACGUGUCAAUGACAGUAAACCCUAUUCUGAUUACAGAUCAUUGAGGUUUGGUCAUUUGUCAAUGACAGUAAACCUUAUUCUGAUCACAG